This 432-nucleotide ribosomal RNA is filed under the name uncultured bacterium. Its description in RNAcentral is "bacterial SSU rRNA". It matches the Rfam family "Bacterial small subunit ribosomal RNA", at positions 29 to 507 of the family's 1533-position model. The record is from RNAcentral.
AACGAACGCUGGCGGCAGGCUUAACACAUGCAAGUCGAGCGCCCCGCAAGGGGGAGCGGCAGACGGGUGAGUAACGCGUGGGAAACUACCCUUUGGUACGGAAUAACACAGAGAAAUUUGUGCUAAUACCGUAUGUGCCCUUCGGGGGAAAGAUUUAUCGCCAUAGGAUGUGCCCGCGUAGGAUUAGCUAGUUGGUGUGGUAAUGGCGCACCAAGGCGACGAUCCUUAGCUGGUCUGAGAGGAUGAUCAGCCACACUGGGACUGAGACACGGCCCAGACUCCUACGGGAGGCAGCAGUGGGGAAUAUUGGACAAUGGGCGCAAGCCUGAUCCAGCCAUGCCGCGUGAGUGAUGAAGGCCUUAGGGUUGUAAAGCUCUUUCACCCACGACGAUAAUGACGGUAGUGGGAGAAGAAGCCCCGGCUAACUUCGUG